Long non-coding RNA from Octopus sinensis (East Asian common octopus), 281 nucleotides. RefSeq lists it as uncharacterized. The record is from RefSeq and is a predicted model, not a curated record. The transcript has 2 exons. Lineage: Eukaryota; Metazoa; Mollusca; Cephalopoda; Octopoda; Octopodidae.
UGGUCACAAUAGGACAAAGAGGCUAAUGAGAUGGGCACAAUAGGACAAGGGGAUGAUGGAAUAGACAUAAUAGGACAAGGAGUGAUGGAAUGGAAUGAGAGGGGCACAGUGGGAAUAGGGGAUGAAAGGAUGAGGUGGAAUGAAUGCAGUUGGACAAUGGGGGGAGGGUGAUAGAAUGGAACGAAAGGAUACAAUAGGAUUAAGGGACGAUGAGAUGAAAUGAAUGCAAUAGAAUGGAGGAGGGUGAUGGAAUGGAAUGGAUUGAAAAGGGACAAUGGAAU